UCCCUGGUGGUCCAGUGGCUAAGCCUCUGUGUUCCCAAUGCGGGAGGCCCAGGUUCGAUCCCUGGUCAGGGAG
Molecule: transfer RNA, 73 nt
Organism: Ovis aries (sheep)
Lineage: Eukaryota; Metazoa; Chordata; Mammalia; Artiodactyla; Bovidae
Rfam family: tRNA
About the family: Transfer RNA (tRNA) molecules are approximately 80 nucleotides in length. Their secondary structure includes four short double-helical elements and three loops (D, anti-codon, and T loops). Further hydrogen bonds mediate the characteristic L-shaped molecular structure. tRNAs have two regions of fundamental functional importance: the anti-codon, which is responsible for specific mRNA codon recognition, and the 3' end, to which the tRNAs corresponding amino acid is attached (by aminoacyl-tRNA synthetases). tRNAs cope with the degeneracy of the genetic code in two manners: having more than one tRNA (with a specific anti-codon) for a particular amino acid; and 'wobble' base-pairing, i.e. permitting non-standard base-pairing at the 3rd anti-codon position.
Source: Rfam